RNAcentral lists this ribosomal RNA (465 nucleotides) under uncultured bacterium. RNAcentral's name for it is "partial 16S ribosomal RNA". It matches the Rfam family "Bacterial small subunit ribosomal RNA", at positions 28 to 507 of the family's 1533-position model. The record is from RNAcentral.
GACGAACGCUGGCGGCGUGCUUAACACAUGCAAGUCGAACGGAAAGGCCCCUUUGGGGGUCCUCGAGUGGCGAACGGGUGAGUAACACGUGAGUAACCUGCCCUUGACUUCGGGAUAACUUCAGGAAACUGGGGCUAAUACCGGAUAGGAAUCCUUGCUGCAUGGUGGGGGUUGGAAAGCUUCGGCGGUUUUGGAUGGACUCGCGGCUUAUCAGCUUGUUGGUGGGGUAGUGGCUUACCAAGGCUUUGACGGGUAGCCGGCCUGAGAGGGCGACCGGCCACAUUGGGACUGAGAUACGGCCCAGACUCCUACGGGAGGCAGCAGUGGGGAAUAUUGCACAAGGGGCGGAAGCCUGAUGCAGCAACGCCGCGUGCGGGAUGACGGCCUUCGGGUUGUAAACCGCGUUCAGCAGGGGCGAAGCUUGUGGUGACGGUACCUGCAGAAGAAGCACCGGCUAACUACGUG